GACGAACGCUGGCGGCGUGCCUAACACAUGCAAGUCGAACGGAAAGGCCCCCAUCUUGGUGGGGGUGCUCGAGUGGCGAACGGGUGAGUAACACGUGGGUGAUCGGCCGUGUACUUCGGGGUAAGCUUGGGAAACUGGGUCUAACAUCGGAUAGGACCAUGGUUUAGUGUCUCAUGGUGGCAAGAUGAUUGUUGUGGUGCAGGAUAGGCUCGCGGCCUAUCAGCGUGUGGGUGGGGUAAUGGCCUACGAAGGCGUCGACGGGUGGCCGGCGUGAGAGCGUGGACGCGGACAGUGGGACAGGGUCACGGCUCAGACUCCAACGGGCAGUAGGAGUGGGGGAUAAUGGAGCAUGGGCGUAAGCCUGAUGCAGCGACGCCGCGUAGAAGGUGUCGGCCUUGGGGUUGUAAACUCCUUUCGAGAAGGACGAGGCCACGAUUUUUGGGUGUGGUGACGGUACCUUUGUGAAGAAGCACCGGCUAACUACGUG
This 487-nucleotide ribosomal RNA is filed under the name uncultured bacterium. RNAcentral describes it as "partial 16S ribosomal RNA". It matches the Rfam family "Bacterial small subunit ribosomal RNA", at positions 28 to 507 of the family's 1533-position model. The record is from RNAcentral.